Molecule: ribosomal RNA, 460 nt
Filed under: uncultured bacterium
Lineage: Bacteria
Description: partial 16S ribosomal RNA
Rfam family: Bacterial small subunit ribosomal RNA
Source: RNAcentral
CCUACGGGAGGCAGCAGUGAGGAAUAUUGGUCAAUGGACGCGAGCCUGAACCAGCCAAGUAGCGUGAAGGAUGAAUGCCCUACGGGUUGUAAACUUCUUUUAUAAAGGAGUAAAGUGAGGCACGUGUGCAUUUUUGUAUGUACUUUAUGAAUAAGGAUCGGCUAACUCCGUGCCAGCAGCCGCGGUAAUACGGAGGAUCCGAGCGUUAGCCGGAUUUGUUGGGUUUAAAGGGAGCGUAGAUGGGUUGUUAAGUCAGGUGUGAAAGUUUGCGGCUCAACCGUAAAAUUGCAAUUGAUACUGGCAGCCUUGAGUACAGUUGAGGUAGGCGGAAUUCGUGGUGUAGCGGUGAAAUGCUUAGAUAUCACGAAGAACUCCGAUUGCGAAGGCAGCUUACUAAACUGCAACUGACAUUGAUGCUCGAAAGUGUGGGUAUCAAACAGGAUUAGAUACCCGUGUAGUC